CAAGAUACAAAACCAACAAACACAAAAAUGAAUUUCUUCAUCUUUAUUUGGAUUCUGGGAGCUUUUAUUCCAGAAUCCAGAGGAGUCACUGUAACUCAGACUGAAGUUGUGACUAAAACUGCAGGAGAAGAAGUCACUAUAAAGUGUAAAACUGAUCCUGGAAUAUAUGGCUGGGGUUUAGCUUGGUAUCAGCAGAAACCUGGAGAAGCUCCAAAACUCAUCAUAUAUAGCGUAAAUUCUCGGUAUGGUGAUAGUUUUCAGCGAUUCAGUGGCGGUGGAUCUCAAGGUGGAACUGAUUUCACUCUGACCAUCAGUGGAGUCCAGACUGAAGAUGCAGGACAUUAUUACUGUCAGAGCAGACAUUACAUCAACAGUAAAUAUGUGUUCACACAGUGAUAAAGAGUCGUACAAAAACCUCUGUCAGUCACACUGCACUGAUACACUGACAGAUAUUGCAGCUGCUCACACACACACACACACACACACACACACACAAACACACACACACACACUUGUUUUUACACUAAAUGUAUCUUUGGUUUUGAGAGAGUAGCAGUAGGGAAAUACUGUGUGCACACUGACAUUGGAAUGAUUGAUACAGUUGAGCCCGUAUUCAGCAUUAACUUAACAUUCUGCAUUGAACCACAUGUGCUGAUUUGAACAGUACACAUUAUCUUUCUUGAAUCACGAUCUUCAUCAACACAACAACAAUGAUAUUCAUCACCUUCUUCAUCUGGACUCUCACAUCAUUUGCUCGAGGUUUGUCAAAUACAACUUUUAUAAUUAGAAGAUCAC
Xyrauchen texanus (razorback sucker) is the source of this 795-nucleotide non-coding RNA. The record is from the annotation of a RefSeq genome assembly. NCBI's taxonomy places the organism in Eukaryota, Metazoa, Chordata, Actinopteri, Cypriniformes, Catostomidae.